Molecule: long non-coding RNA, 498 nt
Organism: Pteropus alecto (black flying fox)
Lineage: Eukaryota; Metazoa; Chordata; Mammalia; Chiroptera; Pteropodidae
Exons: 2
Source: RefSeq, a predicted model, not a curated record
GGCGCAUGCGCGCAGGGGCACGUCCACCGGGCUCAUCAGCAAGAUCGCGUCCAGGUUCGCGCGCAGAGCUGCGCUUUGACAGACGUUUGAAGACAAAAUUCAAGGAAGGCAUCAAGUCUCUUUUUUGGAGAGAAAGGAAAAAAAAAAAACAAUAAAAAGGGAUGAAAUGAGGAUUUAAAAAUUCUGUCGAGUGGAAAGAGCACAACUUGACAUCAAAACUGGGUUUUAACAAAAAACGUUCACCCUCCUUAACGGCCUUGGAUUAGAAAAAGGAAUUAAAUAGGAUUUUACAUUUAUUGUUAUUAUUAUUAUUAUUAUUCUUAAAGUAACAUUUCUUUAAGAACUUUUAGACUUCUCACCCAUAAUAUGUAAUUUCCCUUUUUUCCUUCUAAAAAGUCUAUGUCCUACCAUCGUAUAGAUUACUUACAUAAUUUAACAUCAGAAAAACUUAACAUCAAAACAUAGUAAACACAAAAUAAAUGCAUAAAAGUAAACUAA